GGUUGUGGCUCAGUGGUAGAGCCUCGCCUAGCACGUAUGAAGCACUGGGUUCGAUCCUCAGCACCA
RNAcentral lists this transfer RNA (66 nucleotides) under Marmota monax (woodchuck). Its description in RNAcentral is "tRNA.Ala". The record is from RNAcentral. Lineage: Eukaryota; Metazoa; Chordata; Mammalia; Rodentia; Sciuridae.